RNAcentral lists this ribosomal RNA (472 nucleotides) under Placida verticillata. Its description in RNAcentral is "partial 16S ribosomal RNA". It matches the Rfam family "Bacterial large subunit ribosomal RNA", at positions 1795 to 2619 of the family's 2925-position model. Lineage: Eukaryota; Metazoa; Mollusca; Gastropoda; Limapontiidae. The record is from RNAcentral.
UCGCCUGUUUAUCAAAAACAUAGCCUUGAGUGUUAUUCAAGGUAACGCCUGCCCAGUGCGAGCUGUUAACGGCCGCAGUACCCUGACUGUGCUAAGGUAGCAUAAUCAGUUGGCUUUUAAAUGGAGUCGGGAAUGAAUGGAUUUAUAGGGUUAAGCUGUCUCUCUCAUAUUAAAUUAAAUUUAUUUAUUAGGUGAAAAUACCUAAAUUAAAGAAAAAAGACGAGAAGACCCUGGGAGUUUUAACUAAGGUCUGUUAAAGGCUACGUUUUUGUUGGGGCGACAUGAGGGAAGAUUAAACCCCUCUUUAAUUAUUUGCCGACUUUGUAUGAAAAUUUAAACUACCCCAGGGAUAACAGCGUAAUUCUUUUUGAGUUUGCGACCUCGAUGUUGGACUAGGAAUUCGGUGGGCUAGCCGCCCAUUGUAAUUGUUCUGUUCGAACUGUUUUUCCUACGUGAUCUGAGUUCAGACCGG